CGGCAUUAUAAGGAGCAAUAACUAAUUGAUCUUGUUUAGAAGUCAUUAAUCUACUGCAAAGGUUUCGAGCUCUAAUCUCUCGAGUACUAUGACCAGUUGAAAUAACAGAUGGAUCUACAAAAACGUACUUUGAAACCUUCUUUAAAUCAAUAAUGAGUGAAUGUAAGUACCUACAAUAAAUUCAUUGCACACAUCAACUUAUUACUAAUUAAAAAGUGUGAGUACAUAUAUCAUAAAGAAAUAACAUUUACUUACGUGAUAUAAGCAACAAUUGAUAAAGUCUUCA
Molecule: long non-coding RNA, 286 nt
Filed under: Cucumis sativus (cucumber)
Lineage: Eukaryota; Viridiplantae; Streptophyta; Magnoliopsida; Cucurbitales; Cucurbitaceae
Description: long non-coding RNA (CSAT_LNC003140)
Source: RNAcentral